Molecule: long non-coding RNA, 1323 nt
Organism: Ictalurus punctatus (channel catfish)
Lineage: Eukaryota; Metazoa; Chordata; Actinopteri; Siluriformes; Ictaluridae
Source: Ensembl
UAGACGACAAGGCAAGCCGCAGACUGGAGCGACUAGCAAGAUGUGGAUUGAAUCUCAUGGACCGGUACGCACUAAGCUUGAAAGCGAAUGAAAAUUGCUAAUGCUGAUUACGUCCUGAGCCGUGCACUGCCUAUUUGGUUGAAUCUCAGACAUGCUGAGAUUGCAAGGCUGGAAAAUGAGACAUGCGUAAUGAGAUCGGUCGGCGUGGUUAGAUCAGAGGUGUGGGUUCGGGUAUAUUUAAACCCUCCAGACAAUCGGUGUGGAUACAGUCUUCAUGCUAUGCUGUGCCACACACACACACACACACACACACACACACACACAGCAGCAAAAUGACCUUCAGGACUUUUCCACGUCUCUUAUUUUUAGAGCAGGACUCAAAGGCACAGAUUGUCACAUUCUUUUGUUGCCUGGACACACGAGCUGCCUUUCCCCAGACUGCGACGACGUGCGAUACGAUAAAUUCUAGGAAGUGAAUGACUUCAUUUUGUUGGGUUUGUACUUCUGUACGUACCGACUGGAUUAUAAACCCUGAUGUGAAGGUCUGAGGUCAGUGACAGGAGACGACCGUGCGCUUACGAGAGCACAUCAGGAAGCUGGGGUCAGCCAUGAUACAGUGCACCUGGAGCAGAGAGGGUUAAGGGCCUUGCUCAAGGGCUCAACAGUGGCAGCUUGGCAGUGCUGGGGCUUGAACCCCUGACCGUCCCAUGAGUAACCCACUGCCUUAACCACCAAGCCACCACUGCACAGACAAGGUAGUCGAUGUUUUAUCUAAUCAAAUGCAUAGUUUUUUUAAGGUAAACCUUUAUUUUGAAAUUGAUGCAUGCAACACAUUCCAAAAAAGUUGGGACAGGGGCAGUUUAGGACUAAUAGCGAUGGGAGAAGUUGAAAUAAGAAGGUGAUGUGAAACAGGUGAGGAAAUCGUCUAAUCAUAGUAUAUAAGGAGUCUCCAAAAAAGGCCUGGUCCUUCAAGAGCAAGGAUGGGUCGAGGCUCGCAAUCUGCUAACAGAUGCGUCAGUGAAUAAUCCAACACUUUGAGAAGAACAUUCCCCAAAGAUAAAAUCAAUAGGAUUUGGGGCAUUUCACCUUAUGAAACCUCACAAUAUCAUUAAAAGAUUCAAAGAAUCUGGCUAAAUCUCGGUGCGUAAAGAGCAAGGCUGAAAACCACUUCUGAAUGCGCGUGAUCUCCGAUCCCUCAGACACCACUGUAUUAAAAACCAUCACGAGUCUGUAAUGGAGAUCCUGACAUGGGCUCGGGAAUACUUUGGUAAACCUUUCUCACUCAGCACCAUUCGCCGCUGCAUCCACAGAUGCAAGUUAAGG